AAACCAACAGGGAUUACCUCAGUAACGGCGAGUGAAGCGGUAACAGCUCAAAUUUGAAAUCUGGGUCUUUCAGGCUCCGAGUUGUAAUUUGUAGAAGAUGCUUCGGGUGCGGCCCCGGUCUAAGUUCCUUGGAACAGGACGUCAUAGAGGGUGAGAAUCCCGUAUGUGAUCGGUUGCUUGCGCCCAUGUGAAGCUCUUUCGACGAGUCGAGUUGUUUGGGAAUGCAGCUCAAAAUGGGUGGUAAAUUUCAUCUAAAGCUAAAUAUUGGCCAGAGACCGAUAGCGCACAAGUAGAGUGAUCGAAAGAUGAAAAGCACUUUGGAAAGAGAGUUAAACAGUACGUGAAAUUGUUGAAAGGGAAGCGCUUGCAACCAGACUUGCGCGUUGCCGAUCAUCCGGGGUUCUCCCCGGUGCACUCGGCCUCGCUCAGGCCAGCAUCGGUUUUGGUGGUGGGAUAAAGGCCUUGGGAAUGUAGCUCCUUUCGGGGAGUGUUAUAGCCCUCGGUGCAAUGCCGCCUACCGGGACCGAGGACCGCGCUUCGGCUAGGAUGCUGGCGUAAUGGUUGUAAGCGAC
RNAcentral lists this ribosomal RNA (572 nucleotides) under uncultured fungus. RNAcentral describes it as "eukaryotic LSU rRNA". It matches the Rfam family "Eukaryotic large subunit ribosomal RNA", at positions 62 to 648 of the family's 3401-position model. The record is from RNAcentral. Lineage: Eukaryota; Fungi.